CUUCACCGACCCCAGCAGCAGCGGGGUCUCCCGCUCCUGGCCGUAGGUGGCCAGGAGGGCCUGCGCCUC
Non-coding RNA from Actinokineospora bangkokensis, 69 nucleotides. It matches the Rfam family "ASpks TB sRNA". The record is from Rfam. NCBI's taxonomy places the organism in Bacteria, Bacillati, Actinomycetota, Actinomycetes, Pseudonocardiales, Pseudonocardiaceae.